AGUGAACGCUGGCGGUAGGCCUAACACAUGCAAGUCGAACGGCAGCACGGUAAGAGCUUGCUCUUACGGGUGGCGAGUGGCGGACGGGUGAGGAAUACAUCGGAAUCUACUUUUUCGUGGGGGAUAACGUAGGGAAACUUACGCUAAUACCGCAUACGACCUACGGGUGAAAGCAGGGGAUCUUCGGACCUUGCGCGAUUGAAUGAGCCGAUGUCGGAUUAGCUAGUUGGCGGGGUAAAGGCCCACCAAGGCGACGAUCCGUAGCUGGUCUGAGAGGAUGAUCAGUCACACUGGAACUGAGACACGGUCCAGACUCCUACGGGAGGCAGCAGUGGGGAAUAUUGGACAAUGGGCGCAAGCCUGAUCCAGCCAUACCGCGUGGGUGAAGAAGGCCUUCGGGUUGUAAAGCCCUUUUGUUGGGAAAGAAAAGCAGCAGGUUAAUACCCCGCUGUUCUGACGGUACCCAAAGAAUAAGCACCGGCUAACUUCGUG
This 492-nucleotide ribosomal RNA is filed under the name uncultured bacterium. Its description in RNAcentral is "partial 16S ribosomal RNA". It matches the Rfam family "Bacterial small subunit ribosomal RNA", at positions 29 to 507 of the family's 1533-position model. The record is from RNAcentral.